This 447-nucleotide ribosomal RNA is filed under the name uncultured bacterium. RNAcentral's name for it is "SSU rRNA". It matches the Rfam family "Bacterial small subunit ribosomal RNA", at positions 26 to 518 of the family's 1533-position model. The record is from RNAcentral.
AGAACGAACGCUGGCGGCAGGCCUAAUACAUGCAAGUCGAGCGGGCGUAGCAAUACGUCAGCGGCGGACGGGUGAGUAACACGUGGGAACAUGCCCUUCGGUACGGAACAACUCAGGGAAACUUGAGCUAAUACCGUAUGAUCCGGCAACGGCAAAGAUUUAUCGCCGGAGGAUUGGCCCGCGUCCGAUUAGCUAGUUGGUGAGGUAACGGCCCACCAAGGCACCGAUCGGUAGCUGGUUUGAGAGAACGACCAGCCACACUGGGACUGAGACACGGCCCAGACUCCUACGGGAGGCAGCAGUAGGGAAUCUUGGACAAUGGGGGAAACCCUGAUCCAGCCAUGCCGCGUGAGUGAUGAAGGCCUUCGGGUUGUAAAACUCUUUCGACGGGACGAUAAUGACGGUACCCGUAGAAGAAGCUCCGGCUAACUUCGCGCCAGCAGCCGC